CCCCCUGCACUCUGUGUGAUUCCAUGUCUGUGAAUAAAGGACUGUAUGAUGGUUACAUCGAUAUGCCAGUACAGGGUAGCUGCAGAGAAGGAACUCCCUUAUGACAUCCUGUCUUCCCACCCCAUGCCUCUCUCUGGUUCCAGGCUGGGAAUAUGAAUUACCUGACUGGCAUUAGGCGUUCUGCUUGGCUGACAGCUGUCAUGAACACACGGGAUGGAAGAGAGACAGAGAAGGAUGAGUCUCUCAGUUAUCCUCCCUUAUUCCCUUCUCUCUUUCUCUUGAGGCAUUUCACUCCUUUAAGCAGUUGUAUAAUGAAGAUCUUCCUCCUGCGGUCCUUCCCAUUUAACACAGGGCACAGACACAGAGCAGGCAUUGUGGGCCACUGAAUCUCUUACUCUUUUGCAGAUCACAUACUGCAAUACUGUAUUUCAUCACCAGACAGACAACUGUAGGGAAAACA
Long non-coding RNA from Carassius carassius (crucian carp), 460 nucleotides. RefSeq lists it as uncharacterized. The transcript has 3 exons. The record is from RefSeq and is a predicted model, not a curated record. NCBI's taxonomy places the organism in Eukaryota, Metazoa, Chordata, Actinopteri, Cypriniformes, Cyprinidae.